AAUGGUGACUGAACAAGGCUGACAGAAUAGACAUUCCUUCCAGAAUUUGAACCAUUUUGAACCAUAAUAUCUAAAACAUGGAGCAACGUAUUAGAUGUGCAAAGAUAGUUUUUGUGAUGCCAUUCAUCAAAAUGUAAUGUUACUGGUUUUCUCAAUUGUUUACUGGGUAGUGUUUUCAUGACUGUGUAGUUUUGUGUCUUUAUGAUAUAAAGCACUAUGAACUGUCUUGUUGCUGAAAUGUGAUAUACAAAUAAUCUUGAAUGAUAAUUAAAACUGAAGAGCGUGUUUACUUGCAGAGCAUCUGAUUAAAUCAGUCAAUCCAGGUGUGGUGGUGCAGGUAGUCACACCUUUAAACUGAGAGUCAUUAGUUAAACCUGUCACUCAAUGAGCAGUGAAACUACUCCGAAAGUCAUUCGCUUGUCACUUGUUACAUGAAGAUCAAAACACCUCAACAUAUGUCAUUAAAAGUGUGAACGAUCAUGUGGUCAACAGGUUAAAGCAUCAGACAACAAGUACAAAGGACAAGGGUUCAAAUCCUGGAAAGAAUGUCUAUUUUGUUAGCCUCAAUCAGUCACUAUUGACAGCAGAAAAGAUAAAUGCGCCAUGAGAAACUUCUAAAGUGUAGAAGGUCAUGUGGUUAAGGCAUCAGACCUCAGAUGCAAAGAAUGUGGUUUCAGAUCUUGGUCUGCAAAUGAAGAGGUUUUUCAUAAUUAGUUUGGUAUUUAAUGGGAUUUUUAGAUUAAAACACACAACGUUCAUCAUAAUCAGUCAAAAUUGAGGAUUGAUGUUGAGAAGAACAUGAUUUCUGCUUAAUUUUGUUGUUUUUUUUAUCAAUCUAUUUUUACUCCAGGAAUGCACCGAUUUCAAAGUUUUUUGCUGAUACUGCCGAUAUUCCUGUUUUGCUACCUUUCAAGCAAGUGUAGUUUUGACUGCAAAUAUAUCAGUAAACUUGAAAUAAGGGAUCCUUAUUUAGCUAGAGCAAGAAAAAAUAAUAAUAAAAAACAAUUAAGCUUCAUUUAAAAAAAUAUACAACUGUCAAACAAAGAUGAUUUUAUUUUUACCAGAAUGUUUCUCUACCGCCCUCUUGUGGUCACAGCUGAUAAUGACCCAUCUAGCAAGCAAAUGCUCAGAUCACGUUCGGCGUCCAAACAACAAACAACAAUGAGAAGAAUGAUGGAUGAAAAAGCCAAAUUUCUAAACAAAUCAAAUCAUAAAAACGCUGAUGAAUGCAGAAUACAGACCACUUCUGUACAACCAAGAAACUUUUCAUGUCUGGAGAAACCGUUGAAGCUCCAUCAGAACCCAAACUGCAGCAAAUUUAGAUCUGAACCAGAACCUGGACUCGACUCAAACCAGCCGACACGCUCCUGCUGGAAACCUCGCCCUCCAGGUCUGCUGGUGGCGCAUUCAUGUUUCACUGGAAAACGCCAGACUCUCUGACAAGAUGACAAAUUUCUCCAGAAACCUCCAGGAUUCCCUGAACUCGUUUGUCCAGACCACAACUUUGUCAUGUUGACACAGAGUGCUGCAUUAGACACCAGACAGAUAAAACGCUGUGUUUUUAAAUCAAUCAGAUUAAUGUGUUUCUGCUCCACUUGGGGCUGUAUAUUUACACUUUUAAAACUUGUUGGGAGUUUUUCAGUUCUUACAGCAUCAAAUCAGAAGCUGAGUUGAUGCUUCUGAGUACGAUUCGCAUAUUUAAAAGCGAAUCGUGUCAAAUUUACAGCACAAGGCUCACUUAUAGAAGUGAGGAUUUUUCUGUUCUAGUUUGAAAAUGACAUGAGAAAAGAACUGGGAACAAAAACAAGA
Molecule: long non-coding RNA, 1809 nt
Organism: Xiphophorus couchianus (Monterrey platyfish)
Lineage: Eukaryota; Metazoa; Chordata; Actinopteri; Cyprinodontiformes; Poeciliidae
Exons: 3
Source: RefSeq, a predicted model, not a curated record